This 426-nucleotide ribosomal RNA is filed under the name uncultured Paenibacillus sp. RNAcentral describes it as "bacterial SSU rRNA". It matches the Rfam family "Bacterial small subunit ribosomal RNA", at positions 355 to 774 of the family's 1533-position model. Lineage: Bacteria; Bacillati; Bacillota; Bacilli; Caryophanales; Paenibacillaceae. The record is from RNAcentral.
UAGGGAAUCUUCCGCAAUGGACGCAAGUCUGACGGAGCAACGCCGCGUGAGUGAAGAAGGUUUUCGGAUCGUAAAGCUCUGUUGCCAGGGAAGAAAGGUUUGGAGAGGAAAUGCUCUGGACGUGACGGUACCUGAGAAGAAAGCCCCGGCUAACUACGUGCCAGCAGCCGCGGUAAUACGUAGGGGGCAAGCGUUGUCCGGAAUUAUUGGGCGUAAAGCGCGCGCAGGCGGUCGACUUAGUCGGGUGGUUAAGCCCGGGGCUCAACCCCGGGUCACACCGGAAACGGGUCGACUUGAGUGCAGAAGAGGAGAGUGGAAUUCCACGUGUAGCGGUGAAAUGCGUAGAGAUGUGGAGGAACACCAGUGGCGAAGGCGACUCUCUGGACUGUAACUGACGCUGAGGCGCGAAAGCGUGGGGAGCAAACA